CGCCGGGACGAAGGCGGGAUGCGAUCUGUCCCACG
RNAcentral lists this small RNA (35 nucleotides) under Acididesulfobacillus acetoxydans. Its description in RNAcentral is "CRISPR spacer". Lineage: Bacteria; Bacillati; Bacillota; Clostridia; Eubacteriales; Peptococcaceae. The record is from RNAcentral.